RNAcentral lists this microRNA (26 nucleotides) under Tribolium castaneum (red flour beetle). RNAcentral describes it as "tca-miR-3844-3p". The record is from miRBase by way of RNAcentral. Lineage: Eukaryota; Metazoa; Arthropoda; Insecta; Coleoptera; Tenebrionidae.
AUUGUGUGUGAUAAAAUGAGGUGCCA